UUCGAUGAUACGCGAGGAACCUUACCUGGGCGUCGAACGUAAGAUGACUGUAGGUGAAAGCUUACAUCUCUUCGGAGCAUUUUACGCGGUGCUGCAUGGUUGUCGUCAGCUCGUGCCGUGAGGUGUCGGGUUAAGUCCCAUAACGAGCGCAACCCCUACCUUUAGUUGCCAUCAGGUAAUGCUGGGGACUCUAAAGGAACUGCCUACGCAAGUAGUGAGGAAGGCGGGGAUGACGUCAAAUCAGCACGGCCCUUACGUCCAGGGCUACACACGUGCUACAAUGGCCGAUACAGUGGGCAGCUACCUGGUGACAGGAUGCAAAUCUCCAAAGUCGGUCUCAGUUCGGAUCGGAGUCUGCAACCCGACUCCGUGAAGUUGGAUUCGCUAGUAAUCGCGCAUCAGCCAUGGCGCGGUGAAUACGUUCCCGGGCCUU
This 433-nucleotide ribosomal RNA is filed under the name uncultured Sphingobacteriales bacterium. RNAcentral's name for it is "bacterial SSU rRNA". It matches the Rfam family "Bacterial small subunit ribosomal RNA", at positions 950 to 1382 of the family's 1533-position model. Lineage: Bacteria; Pseudomonadati; Bacteroidota; Sphingobacteriia; Sphingobacteriales. The record is from RNAcentral.